CGGUCUGUCACCUGUGCAUCUGUCAGUGCGAAGACUUCCAGUGUAGACACUAUUUUGACUCUGAAAUCAUUCAUUUGACUUCAUUUAAUGCUACUAAGCUAUGACCUGCACUUUUUUUUUUUUUAAUUCAAGCAACUUUUAAUUACCCGAACACCAUCUAGUUAGCUAGUUGUUGCUAACAAACUGGCUGUGCUAGCCCCUCACCAUGUUUUGAUGUUUCCGACCAACGUGUUCACAACGGACGCUAGCAGAUUCCAGGAACCAGCAGCAGAGGAGACAGGUGGAGCUGCGGGUUCUCAGUCACUAGGUGCAGAAAACCAGUUACCAGUAGCAGCACAGAGGCAGAUGAGAGAGGGCAACAGGGUCCCAGGCAGUAUAUUCAACGCCACGGCUGCUCUGGAGGGACAUCUGUUUGCCCAGAGACUCAACAAUCCCAGCGUGCCUGGCUGUUGCCCAAGCUUGGGUAUGUUUCUUUUUCCUACCUGCUGUCUACUUGUUUGCAGACCAGUCAUCAUCUUCUCAUUUACGGCAUUUAUAGAGAGGAUGUACAAAGAGAGAGUUGAUACACAAAUGACCAUGUACCUCCAUUGUGAUGACACAAACACAUGCUUAAAUACACAUACAGUAUAUUGUUUGUAUCAACAAAUAUUCACAAUGCUACGAGCCCAAGACAACAUGAAUGGAAAAUGAUGAACUCUCAGCAUGAACAGUUUAUUGUGAUAGCUUUGAAAGACCUCUGUGUCUAUGUAUACACACAUGUACACAAGAGAGAAGAGCUUUAUC
Xiphias gladius (swordfish) is the source of this 783-nucleotide long non-coding RNA. RefSeq lists it as uncharacterized. The transcript is spliced from 4 exons. The record is from RefSeq and is a predicted model, not a curated record. Lineage: Eukaryota; Metazoa; Chordata; Actinopteri; Istiophoriformes; Xiphiidae.